Molecule: non-coding RNA, 391 nt
Organism: Cinara cedri
Lineage: Eukaryota; Metazoa; Arthropoda; Insecta; Hemiptera; Aphididae
Source: the annotation of a GenBank genome assembly
UAAUAAUAUCCUCCGGUUUAUAUUGCUAUUUGAUUCUAUUUAUUGCCGCAGAAAACCGUCCGAUAACAGUAUUUUCCGAGAUGAAUACAUAAAAAUACAUAGGAAACAAUAUUAGUGCAAAUAGAAAAUUAAACGAGAUGAAUGAGACGACGUAUAAAAAUAUAAUUGAAAUAAUGAAUCACAACGUUCAAUAUUAAGUAAUACCAGUGGCGUAACCCGAGGGGUUUUAGGUGUUAACGCCUCAUUGUUUUUGUUUUAGGUAUAGGUGAAGUUAAGAAGGUUGUAAGUCUAUAAGUACAAUCUCAACACAAUUUAGACUUGUCAUAUAAGUAUGAAUAAUAGCAAACGUAUUAUUCGGAGGUUGAUCGUACUAUGGAAUAAUUAUAGGUAA